GUGUCAGCAGCCGCGGUAAUACGGGGGGGGCAAGCGUUGUUCGGAAUUACUGGGCGUAAAGGGUUCGUAGGUGGCCAGCUAAGUCAGACGUGAAAUCCCUCAGCUUAACUGAGGAACUGCGUCUGAUACUGAUUGGCUUGAGUGCAGGAGAGGAACGCGGAAUUCCAGGUGUAGCGGUGAAAUGCGUAGAUAUCUGGAGGAACACCGGUGGCGAAGGCGGCGUUCUGGACUGCAACUGACACUGAGGAACGAAAGCCAGGGGAGCAAACGGGAUUAGAUACCCCGGUAGUCCUGGCCCUAAACGAUGAAUGCUUGGUGUGGCGGGUAUCGAUCCCUGCCGUGCCGAAGCUAACGCAUUAAGUACCCCGCCUGGGGAGUACGGUCGCAAGAUUAAAACUUAAAUGAAUUGACGGGG
RNAcentral lists this ribosomal RNA (415 nucleotides) under uncultured prokaryote. RNAcentral describes it as "bacterial SSU rRNA". It matches the Rfam family "Bacterial small subunit ribosomal RNA", at positions 505 to 918 of the family's 1533-position model. The record is from RNAcentral.